Molecule: ribosomal RNA, 253 nt
Filed under: uncultured bacterium
Lineage: Bacteria
Description: partial 16S ribosomal RNA
Rfam family: Bacterial small subunit ribosomal RNA
Source: RNAcentral
UACGUAGGGUGCAAGCGUUGUCCGGAAUUAUUGGGCGUAAAGAGCUCGUAGGCGGUUUGUCGCGUCGACUGUGAAAACCCGAGGCUUAACCUCGGGCCUGCAGUCGAUACGGGCAGACUAGAGUUCGGUAGGGGAGACUGGAAUUCCUGGUGUAGCGGUGGAAUGCGCAGAUAUCGGGAGGAACACCAGUAGCGAAGGCGGCACUCUGGGCCGGUACUGACGCUGAGGAGCGAAAGCGUGGGGAGCAAACAGG